CAGAGUGCUGUCCCCCAGGGUUUAGCACACAGUACCGAGUCAGUAUGGGACUGAGGUUAAGUCCUGCAGCAGCAAUAGCUGCCAAACCCCACCGUGAGGGAUUCGGGGUGUCACAAGCAGAGCGAGCAGCAAAAAGUGGGGGGCAGAGCCCGGCGGGGAGCUGUGAAAGGCCUCAACUUGGAUUCAAGUCCCUGACCAUCAAGAGAGGACGUUGUUGCAGGAAGGGAAGUUGUAGACAAGACAUGGAGAGUGGCAAUCAUCACAAUGGUUGUAAUGGACCAGUACAAUCGCUGGUUGCAAACUCAGCAUCCUGUUGUGGCAGAAGAGGUAGAAGACAUGCUAGUGCUUCAGAGACAGCUUUUCAGUGGCUGGAGAAGCUGAAUUCUCUUUAAAAUAAAAAUCAAGAGAUUACUUGUCUCCUAGCCUGACAGUCUGAUCAGCUGUUCCCUCUGUAACACCGGGUUG
Molecule: long non-coding RNA, 465 nt
Organism: Calidris pugnax (ruff)
Lineage: Eukaryota; Metazoa; Chordata; Aves; Charadriiformes; Scolopacidae
Exons: 3
Source: RefSeq, a predicted model, not a curated record